UGGGGCGUCGCCAAGUGGUAAGGCAACGGCCUUUGGAGCCGUCAUUCCUAGGUUCGAAUCCUAGCGCCCCAG
This 72-nucleotide transfer RNA is filed under the name Elusimicrobiota bacterium. RNAcentral describes it as "Elusimicrobia bacterium (activated sludge metagenome) tRNA-Gln". It matches the Rfam family "tRNA". Rfam says of the family: Transfer RNA (tRNA) molecules are approximately 80 nucleotides in length. Lineage: Bacteria; Pseudomonadati; Elusimicrobiota. The record is from RNAcentral.